UAUCAGGACUUCUGUGCAGGGGCCUUUGAUGACCAUGGCCUGCCCUGGAUGAGCGACACAGAAGAGUCCCCAUUCCUGGACCCCGCGCUGCGGAAGAGGGCAGUGAAAGUGAAGCAUGUGAAGCGUCGGGAGAAGAAGUCUGAGAAGAAGAAGGAGGAGCGAUACAAGCGGCAUCGGCAGAAGCAGAAGCACAAGGAUAAAUGGAAACACCCAGAGAGGGCUGAUGCCAAGGACCCUGCGUCACUGCCCCAGUGCCUGGGGCCCGGCUGUGUGCGCCCCGCCCAGCCCAGCUCCAAGUAUUGCUCAGAUGACUGUGGCAUGAAGCUGGCAGCCAACCGCAUCUACGAGAUCCUCCCCCAGCGCAUCCAGCAGUGGCAGCAGAGCCCUUGCAUUGCUGAAGAGCACGGCAAGAAGCUGCUCGAACGCAUUCGCCGAGAGCAGCAGAGUGCCCGCACUCGCCUUCAGGAAAUGGAACGCCGAUUCCAUGAGCUUGAGGCCAUCAUUCUACGUGCCAAGCAGCAGGCUGUGCGCGAGGAUGAGGAGGUGAGCAAGCAGGGGCGCAGCAGAGCAGGGCCGGUACUUUGUCCUUCCCAGCCUUAUUGUUCCUUCCAUUCCAUGCAGAGCAACGAGGGUGACAGUGAUGACACAGACCUGCAGAUCUUCUGUGUUUCCUGUGGGCACCCCAUCAACCCACGUGUUGCCUUGCGCCACAUGGAGCGCUGCUACGCCAAGGUUGGGGUGUCAGACUGAGGGGGCGGACCAUGUGGGAACAUCAGUGGGCCAG
Molecule: small RNA, 784 nt
Filed under: Pan troglodytes (chimpanzee)
Lineage: Eukaryota; Metazoa; Chordata; Mammalia; Primates; Hominidae
Description: retained intron
Source: RNAcentral